Molecule: long non-coding RNA, 428 nt
Organism: Nomia melanderi (Alkali bee)
Lineage: Eukaryota; Metazoa; Arthropoda; Insecta; Hymenoptera; Halictidae
Source: RefSeq, a predicted model, not a curated record
CGACAGUGGACAGAUUCCGGUACGGGUAAAUGCCGGGAAAGAAAACUGUGCUAGAUUGCUGGGUGCUAACGCUGCUCCGCUUUCAGAACUUUGAAGAGAAUUAAAAAUACACAGGCCGCCGUUUCCAGGAACUCGGCAGUACACACAGAAGAAGGAGAAAAAGAGAAGUUACGAACAUCUGCAGAUGGGAGAUAAGUUUCUAGGCGUUUCGACUUAUUGGACCAGUAAUGUAUCAGAAGCUUGCGCGGAUCGAAGGCACGCGAGGCACGGCGAGGAGGAGACUUUUGAAAGGAUACUCGGAGCUCCUCGGCGAACGCAAUAAAAUGCGAGGAAAGACGAACUAGGAAGUCGUGGAAACCCUUUGAUCCGACGUAUAUUCUCUAUCCCGAUACGAAAUGGAGCACGUAGUCCUUAAACAGACGUCAAAG